CGGCAAUUGAUAAAACUAGAAUAGUGAAGCGAAUAGUGCGAAUAGUCGACGAAUAGUACGAAUAGUCCGCGAAUAGUCGACGAAUAGUGCGAAUAGUCCGCGAAUAGUCGACGAAUAGUGCGAAUAGUCCGCGAAUAGUCGACGAAUAGUACGAAUAGUCCGCGAAUAGGCGACGAAUAGUACGAAUAGUGCAAUAGAGACUUUGCAAGGCUUUGCAGCAGUGCUGUAGAACUAAAUUUACCGGGGGGGGGGCUCUGUUGACAAACAUGAAAUCGUGAAAACAUUCGUCGACGUACGUCAAUGACGUCAUACGUCUAGUGAUUGUCAUCAGUGGCGCCGUGGCCGGGGGGGCCAGGUGGGGGGCAUGGCCCUCCCCUAUUGUUGACACCCGUCGUAAAAUUGCCAAUGCUGCCGGAAAUUGUCGGAAAAUUGUCAAGGCUGUCGG
RNAcentral lists this long non-coding RNA (445 nucleotides) under Paramuricea clavata. The record is from RNAcentral. Lineage: Eukaryota; Metazoa; Cnidaria; Anthozoa; Malacalcyonacea; Plexauridae.